This 434-nucleotide ribosomal RNA is filed under the name uncultured Lachnospiraceae bacterium. Its description in RNAcentral is "partial 16S ribosomal RNA". It matches the Rfam family "Bacterial small subunit ribosomal RNA", at positions 341 to 792 of the family's 1533-position model. The record is from RNAcentral. Lineage: Bacteria; Bacillati; Bacillota; Clostridia; Lachnospirales; Lachnospiraceae.
ACGGAAGGCAGCAGUGGGGAAUAUUGGACAAUGGGGGAAACCCUGAUCCAGCGACGCCGCGUGAGUGAAGAAGUAUUUCGGUAUGUAAAGCUCUAUCAGCAAGGAAGAAAAUGACGGUACUUGUCUAAGAAGCUCCGGCUAAAUACGUGCCAGCAGCCGCGGUAAUACGUAUGGAGCAAGCGUUAUCCGGAUUUACUGGGUGUAAAGGGAGCGUAGACGGUAAAGCAAGUCUGAAGUGAAAUCCCGGGGCUCAACCCCGGAACUGCUUUGGAAACUGUUUAACUAGAGUGCAGGAGAGGUAAGCGGAAUUCCUAGUGUAGCGGUGAAAUGCGUAGAUAUUAGGAGGAACACCAGUGGCGAAGGCGGCUUACUGGACUGUAACUGACGUUGAGGCUCGAAAGCGUGGGGAGCAAACAGGAUUAGAUACCCUGGUA